CCGGAAUGGACGAGCCCCCCUCUCUGCACCCAAUCAUCUGCGAACGUGCCCUACAAAACAUCCGGCCAGCGCCGCCCAAACCCCAGGUGCCCUGACUCUGGCGCUCCCGCCUGGUGAUGACCGACAGAGCGCUGACAGGCACGUCCAGGGCAGGGCUGCUCCCCCGCGUCCCGCCCUCCCCAAACAUCUCUGACGGACGGUUGGCUGCAGCCCAGGAAGCACUUUCGCGCCGUGGCCUGCAUCCCAGCC
This is a long non-coding RNA of Eublepharis macularius, 249 nucleotides long. RefSeq lists it as uncharacterized. NCBI's taxonomy places the organism in Eukaryota, Metazoa, Chordata, Lepidosauria, Squamata, Eublepharidae. The record is from RefSeq and is a predicted model, not a curated record. The transcript has 3 exons.